Molecule: transfer RNA, 110 nt
Filed under: Fusarium vanettenii 77-13-4
Lineage: Eukaryota; Fungi; Ascomycota; Sordariomycetes; Hypocreales; Nectriaceae
Description: tRNA-Lys for anticodon UUU
Rfam family: tRNA
About the family: Transfer RNA (tRNA) molecules are approximately 80 nucleotides in length.
Source: Rfam by way of RNAcentral
GCCCGGGUAGCUCAAUUGGUUAGAGCUUUCGACUUUUACGUAAGCAACUCUCCUAAUCUGGAAGUUGCUGUACCAUCGAAGGGUUGCGAGAUCGAGACUCGCCUCGGGCG